Molecule: ribosomal RNA, 919 nt
Filed under: Zasmidium sp.
Lineage: Eukaryota; Fungi; Ascomycota; Dothideomycetes; Mycosphaerellales; Mycosphaerellaceae
Description: partial large subunit ribosomal RNA
Rfam family: Eukaryotic large subunit ribosomal RNA
Source: RNAcentral
ACCCGCUGAACUUAAGCAUAUCAAUAAGCGGAGGAAAAGAAACCAACAGGGAUUGCCCUAGUAACGGCGAGUGAAGCGGCAACAGCUCAAAUUUGAAACCUGGCGCAAGCCCGGAUUGUAAUUUGUAGAGGAUGCUUCUGGGCAGCGGCCGUUCUAAGUUCCUUGGAACAGGACGUCAUAGAGGGUGAGAAUCCCGUAUGUGACCGGCGCGCACCCUUCACGUAGCUCCUUCGACGAGUCGAGUUGUUUGGGAAUGCAGCUCUAAAUGGGAGGUAAAUUUCUUCUAAAGCUAAAUAUUGGCCAGAGACCGAUAGCGCACAAGUAGAGUGAUCGAAAGAUGAAAAGCACUUUGGAAAGAGAGUUAAAAAGCACGUGAAAUUGUUGAAAGGGAAGCGCUUCCAACCAGACUCCGCGGCGGUGUUCCGCCGGUCUUCUGACCGGUCUACUCGCCGCCGUGGGGCCAACAUCGUCUGGGGCCGCUGGAUAAGACCGGAGGAAUGUAGCUCAUUGAGUGUUAUAGCCUCCGGUGAUGCGGCGCGUCCCGGGCGAGGUCCGCGCUUCGGCAAGGAUGUUGGCGUAAUGGUUGGCAGCGGCCCGUCUUGAAACACGGACCAAGGAGUCUAACAUCUAUGCGAGUGUUCGGGUGUCAAACCCCUACGCGUAAUGAAAGUGAACGGAGGUGGGAACCGCAAGGUGCACCAUCGACCGAUCCUGAUGUCCUCGGAUGGAUUUGAGUAAGAGCAUAGCUGUUGGGACCCGAAAGAUGGUGAACUAUGCCUGAAUAGGGUGAAGCCAGAGGAAACUCUGGUGGAGGCUCGCAGCGGUUCUGACGUGCAAAUCGAUCGUCAAAUUUGGGUAUAGGGGCGAAAGACUAAUCGAACCAUCUAGUAGCUGGUUCCUGCCGAAGUUUCCCUCAGGA